GGGCAGUGGUGGGAAGGCUGGCGCGAGGCGUGAGGUGGCGUGAGGCGAAGCUGGAAUCUGCCUCUGUCACGGGGGCUGGUGCCUCACGGGUUUGUGUCCUAGACAGGUAUUGGUUUGCCUUAAAAAGGGGUUACCAUGCAGCUUUUAAAUAUGACAGCAAUACUAGUAACUUCGUGGAAGAACAAAUUGAUCUACAUAAAGAAGUUAUAGAUAGAGUGACUGAUUUGAGCAUGCUCAGACUAUUUGAGACCUACCUGGAAGGCUGCCCACAACUUAUUCUUCAACUCUACAUUCUUCUGGAGCAUGGACAAGCGAAUUUCAGUCAGUUGUAAUAUUAGGAAAUGGAGAAGAUCAUAUAAAUGCCGCAGUUCAGACUGAAUCUGAAAAAUGGAGUUUGAAACAUGUAAAAGAAGUCUGGGGCAACCAUAACCAGGAUGUUUCUGAUUGACACCUACUCCCUCAUCCUAGUCCCAUCUGAGUUUGUGUAACUAAGAAUUCCGGCAUAGUGUUGAGAAGAAGUGGUGAAAGAGGACAUACUUGCCUUUUUCUUGAUUUCAGAAGGAAAGCUUCUAAUUUCUCACUAUUAGUACUAGAGUCAACAGCUGUUCUGAUGAAAUAGACGUGGUCCUCCAUUCACCACAAAGGCAGAGGUCAAGACUGACAGCAACUGCGCAUCACCAGGCGGAAAUUGCUAAGUUCUGGAGGCCGGCGCUGAUGCGAGACUGGGGCCUGCUGGAUCUGUCCCUGGUCACAGAGCAGCUGUGCGCUGUCAAAGUGCCGAGCGCUGUUACAGGUUUUUGCAGUUGUUGUUAUUUAAACCUCAAUCUAAAAAUCUAGUUUAAGAAGUGGGAAUGUUUGUGAUACACGUGAAUAAACCAAGGGGAAGAACUCAGAAGUUACAUCAUCCAUGAAGGGUGAAAAUGUGAUGAACUUUCACUGCUCCAAAGCACUAUAGUUGAAUUAAAGACCCUGAAAGUCUGAUGUAGUCUUGUAAAACUCCUUCUCAAAUAAAUGUCAGAUAAUUUGAGGUAGUGCAGCAAGAUGGUACCUGCCUUACCCAGGCAUCUAAUGUUCAAUGAAGCACUUUCCUGGAGGAAAACUGGAAUAAAGGUGUUGUAGAUCUCUUUUACCCGUCUGUAGCGGAAGGCCAACUUUCUCAUCCAGUCCACACCGCCCCGUACACCAGUUGCCAAACAUAAGUUAGCACUGGUUGCUGCAGCAGGAAAGCCAUCUGUUCCAAAGUUAUAUGUGCUAUUUAUAUGCAAGAAAAGCCCAAAGUUAGCCGAACAGAAAGUCCAUCUUAAUUAGAUCUAUUAUUCCUGCUGAGAGAAUCUACUAAAGAAGAAUUUUUCAUAGUGACAGCAACUCUAGGCUUGCUGUGAAUAAUCACAAUGUCAUAAAAAUCAUUCUUUUUAUUGCAAACUUGCUGCCAGAAGCAUGGAAAAAUAUUCAGACCGAGAGAACUUUCAUCCUUUUCUGCAACGGCUUUCUUUUAACUUUCAUGGCCAUUUGCAGAAAGUGAAUCGCAUACCAAUUUAUUCACAAAGCAUUUAACUAGAGCUUUCAUUUGCACAAAAAUAUUUGUUUCGCUCAUAUAAAACAAUGAACUAUAAGCUCCAAUAUUAAAUAGGUCAUACAUUAUUUUUUUUUCUGGAGCAAUUUCCCACUCCUCCUAAAAUCAUUUGCAACAAAUAUUAGUUUCUGUUUAAUGCCAUUACAUGUCUAUAGAUUCAUCUUUAACUACAAACUAUAUGUCAAUGCAUUUUGUAAAGAAAUAUUUUCUUGUAAUUAACCUUUUUAAAUGUCUUUUUCUUUUGCAGGGGUGAGAGUGGGGUUGAAAUUUUGAAGUUUAAAAGAGGCUAAUUUAUGAACUUCAGUUAACUUAUACUGCUAGAUAAUUUUCUAAUAGUAAGAAACACUCAAUUUUGCAUAAAAGAACAUACAGCUCAGAAUAAAUCAGGCCCAAUCAUAUCCUUAGUUAAUAAGUUAAUAAAGAUUUUUCCAAGCUGAUUUUCUCUGCCAUGUAAUUAUUACUGACUCCAGAAAGAAAAAUAUGCAGAACCGGACAUAGGCACUUUUUAAAAAGCAGUUCCCUGUGAGCUGCAGGAAGGGUUCCAUCAUCACCUCCCUCACUGUCAGACCCUGGCGGCGAGGAGAGGACCUUGGAGGGGCACUUUCCUACUCAAAAAAUUCUCUCCUCUAAGUAUCCGUGGGUCUGAAAUUCCACCACACAAAAUCAUCCCUUCUGAAUCUUCUUUUGUAAGACAAAGACUUCAGGUAAGAGUGAACUAUUUAAGCUCCAUUGCCUUGGUGUGAACUGCACUAUGAGAUAAAUUUCUUCCAGCAUGGGGAGCCCUGGUGUGCCUGCCCCCAAAUCAUUGGGUGUUAAAAGGGGAAAUGGAGUUGGCUGCCCGAAAGGAAAAAAAAAAGGGAAAGUUUUGUCUAUACUCAUAAUUUCACUCCCUAUAAAAACAUCCCUCUUCUCAAGAAGUAUAAUUUAGAGCUAUAAAUAAUCAUGCUUUGGUUGUUUAUAUGUUAUUCAGGAAAAUAUUAUGUAUCAUUAGAAUAGCAUGAGUAUUAUGUGUGUUAUAUAUUAA
Molecule: long non-coding RNA, 2597 nt
Organism: Homo sapiens (human)
Lineage: Eukaryota; Metazoa; Chordata; Mammalia; Primates; Hominidae
Source: Ensembl